GCAGCGAAUCAAACAGAUACAUGUCUGAGUUUCAGAUCUCUUACACGUGUUUCAACCACCGUGAUACUCAACAGUUUGCAUCAUGCAUUGAAACUGCCCAAGGAAGUUUGGGAAAUAACAAGCAUGCUGGAAUAUAUCCAGGAGACAACAUGUGGCUGCAUCUGUAAUUUGGUUAUUGCCUCCUAUUAUGACCUAAAAUAACCUAAAUAAAUCGUCUACUUCGUGGUCCUUAAGUGAACUGAUCGGAAAGAUCCGAUUCAACUACUGUACUUUCGGCUCUAUAUAUUCGUAACAUAAGAAACUCCCGUGAAUGUUCAUGACAUCCGCAAUAAUCUUAUUUUCCAUAAUUCCAAACAUGAAUAGAACGUGAUUUAGCGUUGUGAUAUCUCCUGGGUCGCCAGGCAUUGCUCCAGGUUGCCUAUCACCGUCAGGCUUUGAUACCCAGUUUUCCCAUAAUCUCAUUCAACGAAAUGGAAGGAGGCACUUACGGAUACUCCGGUGGAGGGGGCCGGAAUCCAGAAUCCUUACGCAUCAGAUUAGUGCCACCUAUCUCAGACAAUCGUGCCGAAAGGUCUUUGGACUGCCAAUCCCACCACAGCUUGUCGAUCCAGGCAUGAUGAAGGUAGAAGAGCGGAUCACCCGGGCUGGAUCCACCUCUGGCCAUCUGAUGACAUUUUUUUUGUCCUAUUAGAUUUAUCUCGCACA
This 705-nucleotide small RNA is filed under the name Histoplasma capsulatum var. duboisii H88. Its description in RNAcentral is "Histoplasma capsulatum H88 hypothetical RNA". Lineage: Eukaryota; Fungi; Ascomycota; Eurotiomycetes; Onygenales; Ajellomycetaceae. The record is from RNAcentral.